Molecule: ribosomal RNA, 253 nt
Filed under: uncultured bacterium
Lineage: Bacteria
Description: partial 16S ribosomal RNA
Rfam family: Bacterial small subunit ribosomal RNA
Source: RNAcentral
UACGAAGGGGGCUAGCGUUGUUCGGAUUUACUGGGCGUAAAGCGCACGUAGGCGGAUCUUUAAGUCGGGGGUGAAAUCCUGGAGCUCAACUCCAGAACUGCCUUCGAUACUGGGGAUCUAGAGUCCGGAAGAGGUGAGUGGAACUCCUAGUGUAGAGGUGGAAUUCGUAGAUAUUAGGAAGAACACCAGUGGCGAAGGCGGCUCACUGGUCCGGUACUGACGCUGAGGUGCGAAAGCGUGGGGAGCAAACAGG